ACGAACGCUGGCGGCGUGCUUAACACAUGCAAGUCGAACGGUAAGGCCUUUCGGGGUACACGAGUGGCGAACGGGUGAGUAACACGUGGGUGAUCUGCCCUGCACUUUGGGAUAAGCCUGGGAAACUGGGUCUAAUACCGGAUAUGACCAUGGAUCGCACGGUUUGUGGUGGAAAGCUUUUGCGGUGUGGGAUGGGCCCGCGGCCUAUCAGCUUGUUGGUGGGGUGAUGGCCUACCAAGGCGACGACGGGUAGCCG
Molecule: ribosomal RNA, 256 nt
Filed under: Mycobacterium sp. ISO988_OTU578
Lineage: Bacteria; Bacillati; Actinomycetota; Actinomycetes; Mycobacteriales; Mycobacteriaceae
Description: partial 16S ribosomal RNA
Rfam family: Bacterial small subunit ribosomal RNA
Source: RNAcentral